AUUGAACGCUGGCGGCAUGCUUUACACAUGCAAGUCGAACGGCAGCGCGGGCUUCGGCCUGGCGGCGAGUGGCGAACGGGUGAGUAAUACAUCGGAACGUGCCCAGUAGUGGGGGAUAGCUCGGCGAAAGCCGGAUUAAUACCGCAUACGACCUGAGGGUGAAAGCGGGGGAUCUUCGGACCUCGCGCUAUUGGAGCGGCCGAUGGCAGAUUAGCUAGUUGGUGGGGUAAAGGCCUACCAAGGCGACGAUCUGUAGCUGGUCUGAGAGGACGACCAGCCACACUGGGACUGAGACACGGCCCAGACUCCUACGGGAGGCAGCAGUGGGGAAUUCUGGACAAUGGGCGAAAGCCUGAUCCAGCAAUGCCGCGUGUGUGAUGAAGGCCUUCGGGUUGUAAAGCACUUUUGGCGGGAACGAAAAGGACUGUGCCAAUACCACGGUUCGAUGACGGUACCCGCAGAAUAAGCACCGGCUAACUACGUG
Molecule: ribosomal RNA, 484 nt
Filed under: uncultured bacterium
Lineage: Bacteria
Description: partial 16S ribosomal RNA
Rfam family: Bacterial small subunit ribosomal RNA
Source: RNAcentral